This is a long non-coding RNA of Poecilia reticulata (guppy), 563 nucleotides long. RefSeq lists it as uncharacterized. Lineage: Eukaryota; Metazoa; Chordata; Actinopteri; Cyprinodontiformes; Poeciliidae. The record is from RefSeq and is a predicted model, not a curated record.
GGAUGACUCUGACUCCGUACUGAGAACUCUGUCCCGAACUACAGGACUUGCAGCUUCGUUUCGGUGACGGGACACAGAAUGUGAAUGGUUUGCAUCAUAAAACUUCUUGAUGCGUUUCUGAGCCAUGACUGAGCCGCUCCAUGAUGUUCACCCAGGACAGAGAGGAUCUCUCAACUCCACUCCAUCAACCCCCUGAGAUGAAUUACCUUUCCCUCAGAUCCAACCACCUGGACCUCGCUGACCGGUACGGUGUCCACCAGUCCACAGUCAGCCGGAUCAUCGAAGCACGGACCAACUUUUUAUUUACAGUAAAUUAGGUUCUGGAAACCAGAGGACCAGAUAUGCCUGCAGACUUUAAUAGGUACCCUGACACCUGACACUGCAGUCAUCCUGGACUGAGCUGAGCCGCUCUCCCCUUCUGCUCCACAGUGACGUGUUUUCAUCACUAGUAAAGGCAAAGAAGUCUGAAGUAUCUUGUCUGACAUCUAUGAAGUAUAUUAUAUAUUCACUGUUCAUUUUGUUAUCCUGUUUGUACUUACAAUAAAAAGUCAUCUCUUUUGUAA